GGGCCCGCACAAGCAGUGGAUUAUGUGGUUUAAUUCGAAGCAACGCGAAGAACCUUACCAGGGCUUGACAUCCAACUAACGAAGCAGAGAUGCAUUAGGUGCCCUUCGGGGAAAGUUGAGACAGGUGGUGCAUGGUUGUCGUCAGCUCGUGUCGUGAGAUGUUGGGUUAAGUCCCGCAACGAGCGCAACCCUUAUUGUUAGUUGCUACGCAAGAGCACUCUAACGAGACUGCCGUUGACAAAACGGAGGAAGGUGGGGACGACGUCAAAUCAUCAUGCCCCUUAUAUCCUGGGCUACACACGUAAUACAAUGGCGCUUAACAGAGGGAAGCAAAGCCGCGAGGUGGAGCAAAUCCCUAAAAGGCGUCUCAGUUCGGAUUGCAGGCUGCAACUCGCCUGCAUGAAGUCGGAAUUGCUAGUAAUCGCGGAUCAGCAUGCCGCGGUGAAUACGUUCCCGGGCCUUGUACACACCGCCCGUCACACCAUGAGAGUCGGGAACACCCGAAGUCCGUAGUCUAACCGCAAGGGGGACGCGGCCGAAGGUGGGUUUGAUGAUUGGGGUGAAGUCGUAACAAGGUAGCCGUAUCGGAAGGUGCGGCU
Molecule: ribosomal RNA, 599 nt
Filed under: uncultured Papillibacter sp.
Lineage: Bacteria; Bacillati; Bacillota; Clostridia; Eubacteriales; Oscillospiraceae
Description: bacterial SSU rRNA
Rfam family: Bacterial small subunit ribosomal RNA
Source: RNAcentral